CCGAUUUCCAAAUAGGGAUGUUUGUAGAAUUCAGUCUUUGAGAAUUCCACUGUGAACUGACCUGAUCCACACCUCCUGGUUUAACAUACACAGCCUAGGAGGAACCAAAUGUGAUGAGUUUCAAAUCACAAUUGAAGAGUUGUCUGUUCUAACAAGUUUUCCCUGAUUCUAAAUAUUUUUUUAAACGUGGGAUAUCCUUUUACCUUUCUGGAAUUUUAAUUAUGUGAACACAUGCAAAAAUAACAUGGAUUGGACCAUCCCUGCUUCCAGGCUCUUCAUGGUUUUGAAGGAUUUACACCAACUUUUCAUUGGACAAAUCAAAGCUGGCAGGUUCGAGUAUUACCCUUUUGUUUUAUAACUAAGCAGUCUCUUGCAAUUUCCAGUGUUCCGAGAACGAUACAUUAAAAGGCAACACAGUUAUGAGGGUCAGCUGGAGCAACAAAGUUUUAUGAAUGGUUUGCUAGAAAGUGCAUUAAAAUGAAAGAAAGCAAGCAAGAAAGAAAGCAAGCAAGAAAGAAAGAGGUUCUGUUCUUUUCAGUGGUACCUCUCCUUCCCCCCUCCACCCCCAUCUACAAGGAUGAUAAAUGUAUAGAGAGAACAGAAUGAA
Rhineura floridana is the source of this 607-nucleotide long non-coding RNA. RefSeq lists it as uncharacterized. The transcript has 3 exons. NCBI's taxonomy places the organism in Eukaryota, Metazoa, Chordata, Lepidosauria, Squamata, Rhineuridae. The record is from RefSeq and is a predicted model, not a curated record.